CUCAUCUUUAGAAGUGGAUCCCUGCAGUACUUAUUGUAUAUCUUCUCCAGAGUUGCUUAUUUUCUUUAUUAAAAAAGUGUGUUAUCAUCCACUCUGUUUUCUUGUGUAGCCCUAAGAGAACUUUCCAUGUUGUAAAUGGAAUUUCCUUUACUAGGUGUUUCAAAACUGUCAUUGCUAAAAACUACAAAUAUAUUCAGAGUCUUGUUUUCUGUUGUUGAUUUGCAUUUUUGCAUCUCUUUUCCUAAAGGAUCAUUUGAAUAGACCUUCACUGAAUACUGAAUCAAAAAAAUAUUUCCCGCUGUCUUCAGUUUUGAACUCUCUAUAUUAAAUGAUUUCCAGCUGUUGAUCUGUGGAUUCCUGAAGGGUCAAGUUAAUCACCAGCUUUGAGCUGAUGUUUCCCCACCAAGCUGGGCUGGCAGACUUCAGGCUUUUCAACUCCUCUGUAGCAGCCUUAAAAGCAUGCAGAAAAAACUGCCACGAUGGAAUAGAGCGACUGUGCCGCCUAGUGGGCAAAGGCAGCUGCCGGGGGCUGUGUGUUCUUGCCUGGGGGGGUAAAUCCUUUUUAGCAGCUCUUUUUUUUUUUUUUUUUUUUCUCAAACAGCCUUAAAAGCAUGCAGAAAAAACUGCCACGAUGGAAUAGAGCGACUGUGCCGCCUAGUGGGCAAAGGCAGCUGCCGGGGGCUGUGUGGGCUGGGCUGCGGGGGGAAAUCCUCGGUAGCAGCUCCUGCAGAUGUCGUCUUUUUUCUGUCCCUGAGCACAGAGUGAAGUGACCUGUGAUCACUUGCACCUAGUGAUCUCUGUUUCUUCACUCUCAUUAUUUGAAAGCUCCCAAUGCUGAUUUAGAUAGUUGAUGUACUCAUCAUAUAUGACCUUUUCAUGGACAAGAGACAGAGUUAAUGUAAGACUCUCAAGUCUGGGUAGUUCUUGCAUAUAGUGUUCACCAGCACAGAUUGACUGAGAGAGUCCAAGCAACGUUCACAAGUGACCUAUAUCUGUUGUGGCUGAUGGGAACCAACAAACAAUUUGCAGUAUGAAAUUUGCUUCCAGAUUCUGUUCAAUAUAUCAUCAGUGCAAUCAUUAUCAUAGAAGAUCAGAGAGCAAAGCAAUACAUGCAAUUGCUUUAUCUGAAUGCCUUGUCUUUCCCUCCCUUGCUCAUUGAACGAGUCUACCUAAUGUCAGACUCAAUAAAGUCAGGCAGCUGGCUAUAAGAAGCA
RNAcentral lists this long non-coding RNA (1214 nucleotides) under Struthio camelus australis. Its description in RNAcentral is "lncRNA (ENSSCUG00000014311.1)". Lineage: Eukaryota; Metazoa; Chordata; Aves; Struthioniformes; Struthionidae. The record is from RNAcentral.